Macaca mulatta (Rhesus monkey) is the source of this 686-nucleotide non-coding RNA. Lineage: Eukaryota; Metazoa; Chordata; Mammalia; Primates; Cercopithecidae. The record is from RefSeq and is a predicted model, not a curated record.
GUCGGGCCUCCGGGCUGGCAGCCCCCGGUCUCCUGGGUUCCUUGGAGCUGUGUUUCUUAUGGUAAAACGCUCUCCUGAAGCUCGACUUUUUUUCUACAGAUUUCCUUCUGCAGUGUGGGGCCAGGUUUUCUAGACCCACCUCUUCCUCCUGGACUUGAGGUUGCUGUGGGGGAGAUGAGAGAAACUGAGUCGGGGCCCCUGACCUUGAGGAGAUCUCAGGCUUUUUGAGCUCCUCUUCUUGCUGGUGACCUGUGGCGUGGGGAGAAACAUCCAAAGCUCCAGCACCAUCCACUUUGAUGAGGAAGGAGUGGCAAUCAGAAUCUUCCCCACCUGGAAUAGAGACGAAAGCAAACGGGUCUGUGCUCCUGAAACUAGAGGAGUUGGCAGUAACAGCUAUUGUGCACUGAGCACUUUCCUUGUGGGCUGUGGCCACUCCAUGAGACAGUAACUAUUUAUCUUCAUUUUAUCCAUGAAAAAAGUUGAGGCUCAGCGAGGAAACCUGCCUCCCUGGGCCACACAGCUUGUGAACGGCGGCACUGAGAGUGGGCGAGUGGUUUUCCCUGGAGCGCUCAGCCGUGGUGCUGUUCUACCUCAAAGAAAUGUCACAGUGGGCCAGGCGUGGUGGCUCACACCUGUAAUCCCAGCAUGUUGGGGGGCCACGGCCCGUGGAUCACUUGAGUCUAGGA